UACGAGGGGGGCAAGCGUUGUUCGGAAUUAUUGGGCGUAAAGAGCUCGUAGGCGGUUCGUCGCGUCGGCUGUGAAAUCCCGGAGCUCAACUCCGGGUCUGCAGUCGAUACGGGCGGACUCGAGUUCGGCAGGGGAGACUGGAAUUCCCGGUGUAGCGGUGAAAUGCGCAGAUAUCGGGAGGAACACCGGUGGCGAAGGCGGUUCUCUGGGCCUUACCUGACGCUGAGGAGCGAAAGCGUGGGGAGCGAACAGG
Molecule: ribosomal RNA, 253 nt
Filed under: uncultured bacterium
Lineage: Bacteria
Description: partial 16S ribosomal RNA
Rfam family: Bacterial small subunit ribosomal RNA
Source: RNAcentral